UAUGUGAUCGUCUCUCGCAUAUCAAUAAGCGGAGGAAAAGAAAAUAACAAUGAUUUCCCCUAGUAACGGCGAGUGAAGCAGGAAAGAGCUCAAAUUUGAAACUGUUAAGGGCUUAGCUACCGUAAUUGUAACUGUAAAGACAGUGUUUUCCUGUGCACGCCGUGAUUAAUAAGUCCUUUGGAAUAGGACAUCAUAGAGGGUGAGAAUCCCGUAUUUGACCUUUACUUUCAACUUUGUGAUACACUUUCAAAGAGUCGGAUUGUUUGGGAAUGCAGUCCAAAAUGGGUGGUAAAUUUCAUCUAAAGCUAAAUAUUGGCGAGAGACCGAUAGCGAACAAGUACCGUGAGGGAAAGUAUGAAAAGAACUUUGAAAAGAGAGUUAAACAGUACGUGAAAUUGUCAAAAGGGAGGCGUUUGACACCAGUGUUGUUUUUCUGAAAAUCAAUUAAAGAACUGUUUAUGCUAAGCUGUUUAGACUUUAUCAGCUAUCUGUUUAGUUUUGAGCUUUUCUUUAAUGCACUUUUCAGUUAACAAGUCAACAUCAAUUUCUUUUGCUGUAAAAAAGCUUGAGGAAGGUGGCUUGAGAUUCGUCUUAAGUGUUUAUAGCCUCUUGCCUAUGCAGUCGGAGAGAUUGAGGUCUGCAGCGUAGAUCCUUCGGGGCUAAAUGCAUUUGUGCUAAGUUAUAGCAUUUUAUAGACAACUUGUUGACUAUGAUUUGUCUUGUAGCUUACUCGCUUAUGUUAUUUUACCUACGCUUAGGAUGUUGAUCUACAGAGCGAGAGU
This 782-nucleotide ribosomal RNA is filed under the name uncultured Neocallimastigales. RNAcentral's name for it is "partial large subunit ribosomal RNA". It matches the Rfam family "Eukaryotic large subunit ribosomal RNA", at positions 24 to 635 of the family's 3401-position model. The record is from RNAcentral. Lineage: Eukaryota; Fungi; Neocallimastigomycota; Neocallimastigomycetes; Neocallimastigales.